RNAcentral lists this small RNA (1419 nucleotides) under Ooceraea biroi (clonal raider ant). Its description in RNAcentral is "uncharacterized LOC105282709". The record is from RNAcentral. Lineage: Eukaryota; Metazoa; Arthropoda; Insecta; Hymenoptera; Formicidae.
UUUAUAUAUAAUAUAUACUUGAUUUGAAAUUACUACGACGCAGGAUGUCACGAUAUACGCUUAAUUUGAAAAUGUUACUAUGACGAUACGUCACAAUAUUUUCUAUUCGUUUUAUAAUUGUAAACGUAUACUUAUUUAAUAUUAAGUACAAAAAAUGCAGUUGAAAUAGACGCAAGUUAUAAUCACCAGGACAGUGAUUGUGGCUCGCUCCUUCGACCGUGUCAAGUUUCGAGAAUCGCAAUAUUGCUGUUCGAUAGAUCUCGGUUAGUCACGAGCCGCGCCACGACGACAACGGAGUUGCGCUUGGCCGCUGCGCUAUUUUUCACGAUUAUUAGUCUCUGAAAGAGUGUUGCGUACAAAAAUCAUCUCUCAACAAAAUCCAUUUCUGCAUGCAUGCCCGACGUUGACCGAAACUUCUCUUGUACAACUUACCUCAUCUUCGUGCUGAAGUUUGCGACGCAGUGCGAUACAUGAUCGAUCAUCACCAGGUAUGUGCGUGGCGUCGUUUCUCUGAAAUUUGGUAAUCCCAUGAGAUCCAUGGAGAGAUUUCAAUGAUAUUUUCUCGACAAAUGUGACGAAAAUUGUUUUCUGUAAACUUCGAACGCUUCGUUAAUAAUAACGUAAUAGAAGAACGACAAAUAAUUGUAAAAUAAACUCCGCGACUGAUAAUUAUAUGCGAAGGUAUAAUAUCGUUUAGCGAUAAGCGGCUUCCGGUGUGACGGAACUGGUUUUCAAUGAUUCCCUAUAGCUCCGCCCCUGGCGGAGCACGACGCGAGGAGGAACGCGCGCGCGUUUCGUCAGAAAAGUAUCGUUGCGUUCCCGAGAGUCGCGUCGAGCAGACGCGAGCGAGCUGGUUCGUCGCCGCGCCCCGCGUCCGUUGUGUAUUUUUAACUUGGAGGAUCUAAUCCGUGGAUCUGCCCGCCGAGAGUACGUCCGCGCGUUCUAUCGCCGGAGCGUGUGUCUUGCGGAGCGUGUACGCGCGCCGGCAGUUCGGUCAGCGUCGAAGAGGAUCGCGCCGGAACGAGACGAGCCGAGGGUGCGAGUGAAAGAAGAGGAAAGAGAGAGAGAAGAGGAGAGACAGAGACGCUACGCGCAACAGGUGAGAUACGUGGCAGACGCAUUGGGCAAGCGUGCAUGCGAUCAGCUGAUUCGUCAUUCGCCGGAGGGUGAGCGUGGGAGCGAUCGCGAGCGCGCGGACCGGAUCGGAGCGGGCUGCAGCUGAUUUACUAACAUAGUAGCGCAAUAGGGUGAGCGUAACUGGGCACUAGAAGCGCAUUCACGGGUGAUAUAAUUCGAUCUUAAAAACUCUCAUUUUUUUCAUUACAAUCCGUCACCGGAAACGUUUAAAUUAUAGUUGACUCUAGGUGAAAAUUAGAUCAUAAUUCGCCGUUUCCUUCUAAUUUCGUCAUUUGGUCAUUG